GCAAAUCUGAACUGAAAUUUUAUCCUGUUCGCUGAGCCUUGACUGGCCCAAGGCCAGGGCAGCAUUCCUGCUGCCGGUGAUCUCGACGCACAGAAAAUAAUUGUCAAACUCGAACCCGAAGGGGCGGGCCCUGAAUGGAGGCUGAUUUUCCGAGCUGGGUCUUCGCUGGACUCUAGGGUCAUCCAGAGCAACUUUUUUGAUCCUGACACUUUUCAAACUGAGCCUGGGAAUGUGCCCUCUCUCCCAGCUCAGGGCCCUUUGGGGGUUCUCACUCUGCAGUAUCCUUGUGUGAGCUUCCAAUCCUGGGAGCUGGCCCAGGUUGCAUUCCCAACUCUGUGCCCCCUGGAGCUUUUCUUGAAGAAUCAGGUUUAAUGCUACUUGCGGAGGAAUCCAACCAACUUCUAACCAGCAGCUUUCCCGUGAAUCUAAGUUGUGAGUGGUAGUUACCGAUCGAGAGAGUCAGGGCCUUACCUUUUUGCAUUUGUACUUUGCUUUAGAAGAAAGAGGAUAAUGCUUCCUUUGUCUGAUGCCUUUAGUGCGGGGAAAACUAUUAAAUGAUUUACACAUUCUUUGUAGCAUUACACACAUAUGCUUCUGAAUAAAGGCCAUUUGCUUA
Ornithorhynchus anatinus (platypus) is the source of this 616-nucleotide long non-coding RNA. RefSeq lists it as uncharacterized. The record is from RefSeq and is a predicted model, not a curated record. The transcript is spliced from 2 exons. Lineage: Eukaryota; Metazoa; Chordata; Mammalia; Monotremata; Ornithorhynchidae.